This 460-nucleotide ribosomal RNA is filed under the name uncultured bacterium. Its description in RNAcentral is "partial 16S ribosomal RNA". It matches the Rfam family "Bacterial small subunit ribosomal RNA", at positions 338 to 795 of the family's 1533-position model. The record is from RNAcentral.
CCUACGGGUGGCAGCAGUGAGGAAUAUUGGUCAAUGGACGAGAGUCUGAACCAGCCAAGUAGCGUGAAGGAUGACUGCCCUAUGGGUUGUAAACUUCUUUUAUAUGGGAAUAAAACGUUCCACGUGUGGGAUUUUGUAUGUACCCUAUGAAUAAGGAUCGGCUAACACCGUGCCAGCAGCCGCGGUAAUACGGAGGAUCCGGGCGUUAUCCGGAUUUAUUGGGUUUAAAGGGAGCGUAGGUGGAUUGUUAAGUCAGUUGUGAAAGUUUGCGGCUCAACCGUAAAAUUGCAGUUGAAACUGGCAGUCUUGAGUACAGUAGAGGUGGGCGGAAUUCGUGGUGUAGCGGUGAAAUGCUUAGAUAUCACGAAGAACUCCGAUUGCGAAGGCAGUUCACUGGACUGCAACUGACACUGAGGCUCGAAAGUGUGGGUAUCAAACAGGAUUAGAUACCCGGGUAGUC